UUUGGUGCUCACAAGGAAUCGACCGGAGAAAGCGUGAGUUGUUCGGUCAACACAGAGGCUGCUCACGGCUCCGGUCUGCGGUGGAACAACUCUGUUCUGAGUCGCACAAGACUCUAGAAUUAGGAAACCCAGUUCGGUGAGCUUCACUAAUCUAGGGAGAUUACCGAACAAGGUUCACCUGGGCAACAAACUUCUUGAGAUACUCUGACCACGGGGAGGUGGAAGGAUGGUUGUUGUGGCACCAGAGUACCAGACAAUGGAAUGGCACUUGAUGAACUGAACAAAGCCGACGCAGAGGCUAAGGAGAUGAACUCAGGCUUGCACACACCACCACAGAGAUGCC
RNAcentral lists this long non-coding RNA (343 nucleotides) under Zea mays. Its description in RNAcentral is "long non-coding RNA (ZMAY_LNC004240)". The record is from RNAcentral. Lineage: Eukaryota; Viridiplantae; Streptophyta; Magnoliopsida; Poales; Poaceae.